This 253-nucleotide ribosomal RNA is filed under the name uncultured bacterium. RNAcentral describes it as "partial 16S ribosomal RNA". It matches the Rfam family "Bacterial small subunit ribosomal RNA", at positions 524 to 776 of the family's 1533-position model. The record is from RNAcentral.
UACGAAGGGUGCAAGCGUUACUCGGAAUUACUGGGCGUAAAGCGUGCGUAGGUGGUUUGUUAAGUCUGAUGUGAAAGCCCUGGGCUCAACCUGGGAACUGCAUUGGAAACUGGCUGACUAGAGUGCGGUAGAGGGGUGUGGAAUUCCCGGUGUAGCAGUGAAAUGCGUAGAUAUCGAGAGGAACAUCAGUGGCGAAAGCGAAUCUCUGGGCAACAUCUGACGCUGAGGCACGAAAGCCAGGGGAGCAAACGGG